UGUGAUCAAGCUACUAAGGGCUUAGGGUGAAUGCCUUGGUGCCAAGAGGCGAUGAAGGACGCAGCAAGCUGCGAUAAGCCACGGGUAGCCGCAAGCAGGCGCUUAACCGUGGAUUUCCGAAUGGGGAAACCCAGCCGUUCUAAUAGACGGCUAUCGUUGGAUGAAUUCAUAGUCCAACGAAGCGAAACGGGGCGAAGUGAAACAUCUCAGUAACCCCAGGAAAAUAAAACGAAGUGAUUCCGUAAGUAGUGGCGAGCGAAAGCGGAACAGCCUAAACCGAGAGGACUUGUCUUCUCGGGGUUGAGGGACCUCGAUGUGGUAGGUAGAGAGUUAGCGGAACGGACUGGAAAGUCCGGCCAUAGACCGUGACAGCCGGGUAUGCGAAAACUCAAAACCGCCUAGAGGUAUCCCAAGUAAUGCGGUGCACGUGAAACUCUGCAUGAAUCCGUCCCGACCAUGGGAUAAGGCUAAAUACUACUUGGCAACCGAUAGUGAACUAGUACCGCGAGGGAAAGGCGAAAAGAACCCUUGUUAAGGGAGUGAAAUAGACCCUGCAACCCUAUGCCUACAAUGUGUAGGAGCCGCGCAAGCGGUGACUGCCUGCCUUUUGCAUAAUGAGUCUGCGAGUUAUUGUCAGUGGCCAGCCUAAGCCCUUCUGGGGUGGAGGCGAAGCGAAAGCGAGUACGAAAUGUGCGCCUAGUCGCUGGCAAUAGACCCGAAGCGGAGGUGAUCUACUCUUGAGCAGGUUGAAGCUGCAGUAACAUGCAGUGGAGGACCGAACUCGUGAAUGUUGAAAAAUUCUGAGAUGACUUGAGAGUAGGAGCGAAAGACUAAUCAAACCCCGUGAUAGCUGGUUCUCUCCGAAAUCGCUUGAGGGCGAGUGUCGGGUAAGUACACCGAGGAGGUAGAGCACUGAAUGGCUUAGGGGCCCUACCAGGCUGCCAAAACCAAUUAAACUCCGAAUUCCUUGGUUCCCUUUACCCCGGCAAUCAGACGGUGGGGGAUAAGCUCCAUCGUCGAGAGGGCAACAGCCCAGACCAUCAGCUAAGGUGCCUAAAUCGUGUUAAGUGGAAAGGAUGUGACGUUGCACAGACAGUGAGGAUGUUGGCUUAGAGGCAGCCAUCAUUUAAACAGUGCGUAAUAGCUGACUCAUCGAGCGAUGUCGCGCCGAAAAUGAUUGGCGAUUAAACACGAUACCGAAGCUAUGGAUUCCAGCGGGUUUCGACCCGUUGGAGUGGUAGGAGAGCGUAAUGAGUGCAGCGAAGCUGGACCGGAAGGGAAAGUGGAGCGCUCAUUAGUGAGAAUGCAGACACGAGUAGCGAAAAACCAAGUGAGAAUCUUGGUCGCCGUAAACCCAAGGUUUCCUGGGCCCGGUUCGUCCUCCCAGGGUUAGUCGGGAGCUAAGAUGAGGCCGUAAGGCGUAAUCGAUGCACAGCCGGUUAAUAUUCCGGCACUACUGACAUUUAACCAUCAGGAACGCAGAAAAGUUUGCUGACAGGGUCAUUGAAAGACCCAGCCUAGACUUCGGUCGAAGCGCGUCAGUUGGCUUCCACUGCCGAGAAAAGCUGAUGGGUAUACUAAGGUACCCGUACCGUAAACCGACACAGGUGGGUGAGUCGAGUAGACUAAGGCGCGCGAGAGAGCCCUCUCUAAGGAACUCUGCAAAAUAGCCCCGUAACUUCGGGAGAAGGGGUGCCCACUUCGGUGGGUCUCAGUAAAUUGGGUUUAGCGACUGUUUAACAAAAACACAGCACUCUGCCAAGUCGUGAAGACGACGUAUAGGGUGUGACACGUGACCAAUGCGGAAAGAUCAAGGUGAGCCGUUAGCGCAAGCGAGGCGGUGAGCCCAAGUCCCCGUGAAUGUCGGCCGUAACUAUAACGGUCCUAAGGUAGCGAAAUUCCUUGUCGGGUAAGUUCCGACCUGCACGAAUCGUGUAACGACUGAACCGCUGUCUCGGAGAGGAUCUCGGCGAAACUGUAAUGGCGGUGAAGAUGCCGCCUGCCCGCAGUAGGACGGAAAGACCCUAUGCACCUUUACUGUAAGCUGGUAUUGUGUUCUGAUUAAUGAUGCGUAGCGUAGGUGGGAGGCUUUGAAGGCAUGGCUCCGGUUGUGCCCGAGCUGCAAUGUGAAACACCACUCUUUGUUAAUUAGGAUUCUAACCCCAUUCCUGUGAAGCCAGGUGGGGGACAGUGCUUGCGGGUCAGUUUGACUGGGGCGGUUUCCUCCCAAAUUGUAACGGAGGAGCGCUAAGGUACUCUCAGCAUGGUUUGCAACCAUGCGUCGAGCGUAUGGGUAGAAGAGUGCUUAACUGCGAGACCAACAAGUCGAGCAGAUACGAAAGUAGGCCCAAAUGAUCCGAUGGUUGAAUAUGGAAUUGCCAUCGCUCAACGGACAAAAGGUACGCUAGGGAUAACAGGCUGAUCGGUUCCAAGAGUUCAUAUCGACGAACCGGUUUGGCACCUCGAUGUCGGCUCAUCGCAUCCUGGGGCUGGAGAAGGUCCCAAGGGUCCGGCUGUUCGCCGGUUAAAGCGGUACGCGAGCUGGGUUCAGAACGUCGUGAGACAGUUCGGUCCUUAUC
Molecule: ribosomal RNA, 2579 nt
Filed under: Pedosphaera sp.
Lineage: Bacteria; Pseudomonadati; Verrucomicrobiota; Pedosphaerae; Pedosphaerales; Pedosphaeraceae
Description: partial 23S ribosomal RNA
Rfam family: Bacterial large subunit ribosomal RNA
Source: RNAcentral